AUUGAACGCUGGCGGAAUGCUUUACACAUGCAAGUCGAACGGUAGAGGGGGCAACCCCUCGAGAGUGGCGAACGGGUGAGUAAUAUAUCGGAACGUGCCCAGUCGUGGGGGAUAACGUAGCGUAAGUUACGCUAAUACCGCAUACGAUCUAAGGAUGAAAGCGGGGUAUCGCAAGACCUCGCGCGAUUGGAGCGGCCGAUAUCAGAUUAGGUAGUUGGUGGGGUAAAGGCUCACCAAGCCAACGAUCUGUAGCUGGUCUGAGAGGACGACCAGCCACACUGGAACUGAGACACGGUCCAGACUCCUACGGGAGGCAGCAGUGGGGAAUUUUGGACAAUGGACGCAAGUCUGAUCCAGCCAUUCCGCGUGCAGGAUGAAGGCCCUCGGGUUGUAAACUGCUUUUGUACGGAACGAAAAGGUCUCUCUUAAUACGGGGGACUCAUGACGGUACCGUAAGAAUAAGCACCGGCUAACUACGUGCCAGCAGCCGCCGUAA
RNAcentral lists this ribosomal RNA (496 nucleotides) under uncultured bacterium. RNAcentral's name for it is "partial 16S ribosomal RNA". It matches the Rfam family "Bacterial small subunit ribosomal RNA", at positions 30 to 523 of the family's 1533-position model. The record is from RNAcentral.